This 305-nucleotide ribosomal RNA is filed under the name uncultured bacterium. RNAcentral's name for it is "bacterial SSU rRNA". It matches the Rfam family "Bacterial small subunit ribosomal RNA", at positions 337 to 639 of the family's 1533-position model. The record is from RNAcentral.
GCCUACGGGAGGCAGCAGUGAGGAAUAUUGGUCAAUGGCCGUAAGGCUGAACCAGCCAAGUAGCGUGAGGGAAGACUGCCCUAUGGGUUGUAAACCUCUUUUAUGCGGGGAUAAAGGUGUCCACGUGUGGAUGUUUGCAGGUACCGCAUGAAUAAGGACCGGCUAAUUCCGUGCCAGCAGCCGCGGUAAUACGGAAGGUCCGGGCGUUAUCCGGAUUUAUUGGGUUUAAAGGGAGCGUAGGUGGAUUGUUAAGUCAGUUGUGAAAGUUUGCGGCUCAACCGUAAAAUUGCAGUUGAAACUGGCAG